This 386-nucleotide long non-coding RNA is filed under the name Gossypium raimondii (Peruvian cotton). Its description in RNAcentral is "long non-coding RNA (GRAI_LNC003612)". The record is from RNAcentral. Lineage: Eukaryota; Viridiplantae; Streptophyta; Magnoliopsida; Malvales; Malvaceae.
UGAAGGAGGUCUUGUGUUUGAAUCUUGGUGUGGUCAUUAUUUUUGCUCGUGCAUCCAAGAGAGUUUGAGAUGGACUAAAAAUCUGAGUAGUGGAUUUAGUGGGGAGAUUGAUGGAGAAAAAUAAGGGAUUGGGGUGGUUAUCAAAUAUUCUGUUCAUCUUUUUUUUUCUUUUUUUUUACUUCCCCAAAAUCCUUCCUCCCUCUUGCCAUUUUUCUCUUCAUUCCUGCCAAAUUUCUGCUCUCUUUCACCCUUUAUCUUUUUAUUUUUUUCCCACUCUGCCUCGUGUUGCUCCACAUUUGUCUAUGAUCGUUCGGUAAGUUUUAGAUAAGUGAUUUGUCUCCAUUUGUUAAAUUUCUUCUGAAUUGUUUUGUUUAUGCCAAUUAGGG